Molecule: ribosomal RNA, 253 nt
Filed under: uncultured bacterium
Lineage: Bacteria
Description: partial 16S ribosomal RNA
Rfam family: Bacterial small subunit ribosomal RNA
Source: RNAcentral
UACGGGGGGGGCAAGCGUUGUUCGGAAUUACUGGGCGUAAAGGGCUCGUAGGCGGCUAACUAAGUCAGACGUGAAAUCCCUCGGCUUAACCGGGGAACUGCGUCUGAUACUGGAUGGCUCGAGUUUGGGAGAGGGAUGCGGAAUUUCAGGUGUAGCGGUGAAAUGCGUAGAUAUCUGGAGGAACACCGGUGGCGAAGGCGGCAUCCUGGACCAAUACUGACGCUGAAUAGCGAAAGCCAGGGGAGCAAACGGG